This 306-nucleotide ribosomal RNA is filed under the name uncultured Peredibacter sp. Its description in RNAcentral is "bacterial SSU rRNA". It matches the Rfam family "Bacterial small subunit ribosomal RNA", at positions 1033 to 1340 of the family's 1533-position model. Lineage: Bacteria; Pseudomonadati; Bdellovibrionota; Bacteriovoracia; Bacteriovoracales; Bacteriovoracaceae. The record is from RNAcentral.
GAGAGGUGCUGCAUGGCUGUCGUCAGCUCGUGUUGUGAAAUGUUGGGUUAAGUCUCGCAACGAGCGCAACCCCUAUCGUCUGUUGCCAGCAUUAAGUUGGGCACUCUGACGAGACUGCCUGGGUUAACCAGGAGGAAGGUGGGGAUGACGUCAAGUCCUCAUGGCCCUUAUGUCUAGGGCUACACACGUAAUACAAUGGCGCGUACAAAGGGAAGCGAACUAGCAAUAGGGAGCAAAUCUCAAAAAGCGCGCCUCAGUUCGGAUUGAAGUCUGCAACUCGACUUCAUGAAGUUGGAAUCGCUAGUA